This 209-nucleotide ribosomal RNA is filed under the name uncultured bacterium. RNAcentral describes it as "partial 16S ribosomal RNA". It matches the Rfam family "Bacterial small subunit ribosomal RNA", at positions 1291 to 1500 of the family's 1533-position model. The record is from RNAcentral.
GUUCGGAUUGUAGUCUGCAACCCGACUACAUGAAGCCGGAAUCGCUAGUAAUCGCGGAUCAGAAUGCCGCGGUGAAUACGUUCCGGGUCUUGUACACACCGCCCGUCACACCAUGGGAGUCGGAAAUGCCCGAAGUCUGUGACCCAACCGCAAGGAGGGAGCAGCCGAAGGCAGGUCGGAUGACUGGGGUGAAGUCGUAACAAGGUAGC